UACGUAGGGUGCAAGCGUUGUCCGGAAUUAUUGGGCGUAAAGGGCGCGUAGGCGGUCACGCACGUCCGUUGUGAAAUCGCUCGGCUCAACUGGGCGGGGUCAGCGGAUACGGCGUGGCUGGAGCAAGCUAGGGGGCAAUGGAAUUCCCGGUGUAGUGGUGGAAUGCGUAGAUAUCGGGAGGAACACCAGUGGCGAAGGCGGUUGCCUGGAGCUUUGCUGACGCUGAUGCGCGAAAGCGUGGGGAGCGAUCCGG
This 253-nucleotide ribosomal RNA is filed under the name uncultured bacterium. RNAcentral's name for it is "partial 16S ribosomal RNA". It matches the Rfam family "Bacterial small subunit ribosomal RNA", at positions 524 to 776 of the family's 1533-position model. The record is from RNAcentral.